CCAAGGGUUCCUGUCCAACGUUAAUCGGGGCAGGGUGAGUCGACCCCUAAGGCGAGGCCGAAAGGCGUAGUCGAUGGGAAACAGGUUAAUAUUCCUGUACUUGGUGUUACUGCGAAGGGGGGACGGAGAAGGCUAUGUUAGCCGGGCGACGGUUGUCCCGGUUUAAGCAUGUAGGCUGGUUAUCCAGGCAAAUCCGGAUAAUCAAGGCUGAGGUGUGAUGACGAGGCACUACGGUGCUGAAGUAACAAAUGCCCUGCUUCCAGGAAAAGCCUCUAAGCAUCAGGUAACAUCAAAUCGUACCCCAAACCGACACAGGUGGUCAGGUAGAGAAUACCAAGGCGCUUGAGAGAACUCGGGUGAAGGAACUAGGCAAAAUGGUGCCGUAACUUCGGGAGAAGGCACGCUGGUGUGUAGGUGAAGUCCCUGCGGAUGGAGCUGAGACCAGUCGAAGAUACCAGCUGGCUGCAACUGU
Molecule: ribosomal RNA, 472 nt
Filed under: Pseudomonas aeruginosa
Lineage: Bacteria; Pseudomonadati; Pseudomonadota; Gammaproteobacteria; Pseudomonadales; Pseudomonadaceae
Description: partial 23S ribosomal RNA
Rfam family: Bacterial large subunit ribosomal RNA
Source: RNAcentral